Long non-coding RNA from Zea mays, 308 nucleotides. RefSeq lists it as uncharacterized. The transcript has 3 exons. The record is from RefSeq and is a predicted model, not a curated record. NCBI's taxonomy places the organism in Eukaryota, Viridiplantae, Streptophyta, Magnoliopsida, Poales, Poaceae.
AGAAGGAAGGCGGUGUUCAUGUCUCAUCCAGUUCAAAUGAAGUGGCAGGAACCAUUCCAGAUACGAAUGGAGGCGAUCAUCAUAUACCUGGAAGCUCUUUUCAUGUUUAGUGAAGGUCUAUGACAUGUCUGAUAGUCAAAUGAAGCUAAAUGAUUUUAUUUCAAGCCCUGUUGUUGAGAGGAUGGUCAAGAUGAAUUUGAGAAGGGUGACUUUAUAGUGGACGACGAGGAAGAAGUGGAAGGAGAGGAAGAGGAACAAAAGAGUGACGAUGAGAAGUGAAGAAAGAAAACUAAAAAGAAAAGGAAGAG